AUCUUUGGUCACUCACACCAGAGAGGAAGCGAGAGGGUUCAUUCCCGUCAAAAUCUGUCCGCGGGAAUACAGCGAUAAACCGACUACAUUCCCCGCCUUUGGGACAACGACUUCCAUUGUUAGGGCGGAGACCAAACCAUCUCGUCUUUAUAUACAGUAUCUGCGCUCACAUUCACGCAGCUCUUUUGGUGAAGGUAACCCGUAGGUUACUCUGGUUGUUUAUUUGUUCUCUUCAUUCACAAUGUCUACACCAAGUUCACCCAGCUUUGGUUCAGCUGUGUGGCACAGCUUCGACAGAAUAGAAGCGGCACUGGCAAAAUGUAAACACUGCGACCGGAAUAUCAGAUGUAAAGGAGGUAGCACCAGUGGCAUGAAAAGGCAUUUAGAGUCUCGGCAUCAGGUAAACUGGACCUCCGAAAAGGACUAACGUUACCAGAACAAAUUUGAGACAUCCGUCUUUUCUGACGCUGUGCUGGUAACCAGACAAAAGCAAUGGAGCUAUAGAUAUUGGAGCGCCCAAGAGACCGCAGUCGUUGAAGUACAGCAAAAGAGAAUCUGCAAUAAAGGAAGAGAAGACCCUGUCCAAGAAGAGCACACAUGAGGAUGAGGAUGAGGAGCCACACCCUAAAAGAGGGAUUUCAAAGCAAGAACCCAAUACUUCAGAGGUAGCCUUGACAGAAGGUGGGGCUCCAGAGCAGUUUGAGUUUCAGUAUGGACUUGAGGGACCAGCAUUUGAGAAUGGGGAGUCCUCAAAGAGCCAUCUGUCCAUCAUCAAAGUAGAACAACUGGACUCCCUCCUCCCAGACCAAACAGACUCCAGCUGUGGUUCAGGGUCACCUGGGGAUUCGGGGCCUCCUGGCUCAUCUGGUUCUGGGUCCAAUACUAGUCUGGCUUCACAGUUUUUCAAGAAGUGCCACCAGGCAGGCUGCACACAAUUCAUCUUCUCGGAGUUCGCCUCCCGCCUCAGCAUCAUCACUGAGAGGAUUGCAUCCCAGCAGGCCAGCGAGGAAGAUUUCAACCUCACCCUGAAAGUGCUGGAGGCCUCUGGGAUGCUGCCAGAGAUCUUUACCAAAAGAGAUCAAGAAAUGGAGAAGAGACUGAGGGAGCUACAGAGAGAGACUGUAGCGGUGAGGACUGCUAGGUCUGCCAUGAGAGAUGCUUGCGUCAUGAGCUUCACCUCAUCAUGACAGAGCACCGCUGAAGAUCAAAGCAGUUUUAUAAGGUGUUAUAACCAGGGCCUGGGUUUUCUGACAACUUGACUGAACUCGGAAGGUAUAGGACCUGGAGUUUUCCCUGGUCAAAUCCCCUCGUCAGGAAAAACAGGUCCUCCUUUUAACCAAAAUGUAAAUAUUUCCUUUUGUAUUUGACAUAUUUUUCUACCCGUGUUCAAACUUGAACUCUGUGAUAUUUGAACUCUGACAUUUGAAUGCAGUUUUUCACCCUGUCCACUAACUUGAGUGGUAUGUUAUACCUUAAAUUGGUAAUAAUCUUUUGACAGACAUUGGUUCUGAGGUUAUUGGUGAUGUUUUGAUGUUAGUAGGUGAUCCUUAGUCUACCCCUCUGUACUGUAUGUUAUAUGCUCACUAACCCUUAACAGACUUACUAUAUCAUAAUAUACUGAAUGUGCAAAUUAGUCAACAUUUUUUGACGGUUACUAUGUCCACUAGUACUAUAAGAUAAAUUUAGAAUACACUAAUAUAGUAAAGUUGAGACCUGUGACGUUCUGAGAAUGAAUUAAACUUGUUAUGUAAAUGGUGUGAUUAUUUCAGAUUAAAAAAUGUCCUGGACUUGA
This is an RNA transcript of Oncorhynchus kisutch (coho salmon), 1792 nucleotides long. RefSeq lists it as uncharacterized. The record is from RefSeq and is a predicted model, not a curated record. NCBI's taxonomy places the organism in Eukaryota, Metazoa, Chordata, Actinopteri, Salmoniformes, Salmonidae. The transcript has 8 exons.